GGAGUUUUAAGCGAAAAAUAAAAAGAAAACAUAAGAAAGAAGAGAUCGAAAAAUUCAACCAAUUUUCCUUCAAAAUUGCUGCCCGAUUUUCCUCCUCUGUAUUGUUUGCUGCUAUCUCCUCCCCUAUGUCUCACUCCCAUAUUUUUCUUUUGUUCCUUGGACUGAAAGUCGUCCUCCCUGCUAUGUAUGUACGUAUGUAUGUUUGGGGUGGGUCUUAGGAGCUGUUAUGGGGAGUUUAACUGGUGGUAAGGUGGUUUAUGUUACCGCCAUGGCUAUGGAGCUUGGUGAUGAGAGGGUGGAGUAACUGGUUUGGCUUGGUUGAGAUCCUCUUUCCCUUCUU
Molecule: long non-coding RNA, 340 nt
Filed under: Nicotiana benthamiana
Lineage: Eukaryota; Viridiplantae; Streptophyta; Magnoliopsida; Solanales; Solanaceae
Description: long non-coding RNA (NBEN_LNC031449)
Source: RNAcentral